Hevea brasiliensis (rubber tree) is the source of this 2251-nucleotide RNA transcript. RefSeq lists it as uncharacterized. Lineage: Eukaryota; Viridiplantae; Streptophyta; Magnoliopsida; Malpighiales; Euphorbiaceae. The record is from RefSeq and is a predicted model, not a curated record. The transcript has 4 exons.
UUAAAUAAUAAUUUUCCUUAAGUUUACUUGUGCCUCUCAUUUUUUUGGUUGAAUCCAGGAAUUUCAUUAAACAACGGUGGAACAAGGAUUUAAUUCAAAGAUUGUGGAAUCCGCAUGAUGCAAUACUAUCACACAAGGAAUGUCAGAGGAAGGGAGGAUUGAUCUGGAAGAGAGAGCUGAAGUGAUGAGCGAUGACUUUAUGUCUGUCUUCACAGUCAAAUGGCUUGUAGUAUGAAAAUGACUUCAUUUUAUAUAAUUGUACGCAGAUGCUCUCAGGCAGCAACUAUCCAUAAAUAAUUCAGAAAAUUAUGCAUCAAGCAAUUAAACAAAAGCUUCAAAUGUACUGUAAAAGUCUCUUACAAAAAAGUCCCUUUGAAAAAGAAUGUCAGAUUUUGGGCAAUUUAGCUUUGCCUACCUUGGUUGCUUAGCUGCCUCUUCGGAGUAGCCAGUAAACACAAAAACAAACAGAGUUGGUCUCCGGAUCUGUUACAUCUUGCAGCGAUCUUUUGCAGAAACAUUAAUACAUGUUACUAAAGAAUCUGAUGGAAGAAAAACAGUUGGAUUUUAAUCAGCCACUUCUAUCUGUGAGGAGGUUCGCAUCAACAGUAUCGAUCACAGAAGCUGAUAACAAAAGGAAAAUGGAUAAUGCUCGCCCCAGAGUGCCCCCUCUUUCUGUCUACAAAUCGGAAUUGAAAUCCGGUCCGUUAACGAACCCAGGAACUGUUCCUUUUGUAUGGGAGAAAAGCCCAGGAAGACCCAAGUAUGAAAGCAAACCACAAACUGCGCCUCUUGCACAGCCUCCUGCUGUCCCAAAGCUUCCGCCAGGGCGGAUUUUGAAUGUUGAAAGGAAAGCUUUAGAUAAAGGUUCUGAAGGCACCACUGGUCAGUCCGAAACAAGAAAUGGCCUUUUGGGUUCUCACAAUGUUCCAUCUUUGGAUAAAAAUGCAACUGAAGAAGAGAGCUCCGGAGAGAGAACGGAGGAGACCGAUAUUUCUGGUUUGGAUCAUUAUGAUGAGGCCUACGUAGGUGCACUUGAUACACUUUCCCGGAGUGAAUCAUUCUUCUUGAACUGCAGUGUAAGUGGUGUGAGCGGGCUGGAUAGUCCAGAUAUAAAACCAUCUGGUACUAUCUCUACAGAUCCACAAACUCGAGAUUUCAUGAUGGGUCGAUUCCUGCCUGCCGCGAAGGCAAUAACUUCAGAAACUGCUCAACAUUCUACUAGGAAGCUACCUGCUAUACAAGAACAAUCAAGAAAGAUAAAGAAGAUGGUAACUGUGGAAGAACAGCGUCCAUUCAAUCAAUGCAGAGGACUAAGCAGUAUAACACAUUAUGACCAAGCUGAUGGAAUGCAAGAAACUGAAAAUGAGAAUGAUUAUUAUGAUGGACAAGAUAAUUCAACCUUUAAAGCCUGUGGGAUGUUCCCUCGGUUACGCUUACAAAAUUCCUUGUUUCUUUUGAAUCCUGUACCAAGGAUGAGGAAAGAGGCCCAGCUACACACUUCUCCAACCCAUGUGAAAAAAGUUGACUCUUCAUGUGCGGCUCAUUGCAGUGAAACUGUCAAUGAGCAUGAUAAGGACGUUGUAUACCAUCAAAGAUCAGUGGGUGCACUCAGAACAACAGGGGUGCAUGAAGAUGAGAAUGAGUUGAAAAAUGAAUCAAAUAAGAUUGCUUGCAGAAAUGAUUAUCAGAAGUUGGAUGGAUCUUCUCUGUAUAAGUGUUUGCAGGGUAAUGGCUCAUCGCCCUACCGAGGCAAAUUUGCUGGAUCAGCUGUUGAUGAAGAAAAAGGAUAUUUAGUGAUUCCUGGUAAAUAUAAAAAUUCUGGGAUGAAUGGCUUCAAAGCAGAUGCAAAAGGUGGCAAAAGUUUUCGAGAAUUAUUGGCCAAAGAGAGAAAUGAAUGGGAAUCAACUUCUGCUAGUCCUGUGGUUGAGAAACUCUGUACAUAGAUUCUGUACAUAUGCUAAAACCUCAAACUUCAAAUUCAAGUUCUUCAGAUACGAAAGUCUUAAUUAAUUAUUUUUCUCCAUUGAUUGUAGAUUAAUUUAUGCUUACAACAUUCCUUAAUCUCUGUAUUAUCAGGAAUUGCUUACACCAAUACCUGAGAUUUAGAGUGCAAGGCUCAUCUUUAUAGUACAAUGAUUCAAGGAUAUGCUUCCUAGGAGUGCACAUUGUUUUUUGGGUUGGGAUAAUGUAAAGGUGAACAUAAAACUGUCCUAAUUUAUGUUUAAAUAAUAAUAUUUUUUACCUUUGAUAA